RNAcentral lists this ribosomal RNA (253 nucleotides) under uncultured bacterium. Its description in RNAcentral is "partial 16S ribosomal RNA". It matches the Rfam family "Bacterial small subunit ribosomal RNA", at positions 524 to 776 of the family's 1533-position model. The record is from RNAcentral.
UACGGAGGGUGCGAGCGUUGAUCGGAAUUACUGGGCGUAAAGCGCGUGUAGGCGGCCUUCUAAGUCUGGUGUGAAAGCCCGGGGCUCAACCCCGGAAGUGCAUUGGAUACUGGGAGGCUGGAGUACCGGAGAGGAGGGUGGAAUUCCUGGUGUAGCGGUGAAAUGCGUAGAUAUCAGGAGGAACACCGGUGGCGAAGGCGGCCCUCUGGACGGAUACUGACGCUGAGACGCGAAAGCGUGGGGAGCAAACAGG